AACGAACGCUGGCGGCAUGCCUAACACAUGCAAGUCGAACGAUCCCUUCGGGGAUAGUGGCGCACGGGUGCGUAACGCGUGGGAAUCUGCCCUCAGGUACGGAAUAACUCAGGGAAACUUGAGCUAAUACCGUAUAAUGACUUCGGUCCAAAGAUUUAUCGCCUGGGGAUGAGCCCGCGUCGGAUUAGCUAGUUGGUGAGGUAAAAGCUCACCAAGGCGACGAUCCGUAGCUGGUCUGAGAGGAUGAUCAGCCACACUGGGACUGAGACACGGCCCAGACUCCUACGGGAGGCAGCAGUGGGGAAUAUUGGACAAUGGGCGCAAGCCUGAUCCAGCAAUGCCGCGUGAGUGAUGAAGGCCUUAGGGUUGUAAAGCUCUUUUACCCGGGAAGAUAAUGACUGUACCGGGAGAAUAAGCCCCGGCUAACUCCGUGCCAGCAGCCGCGGUAAUACGGAGGGGCUAGCGUUGUUCGGAAUUACUGGGCGUAAAGCGCACGUA
This 498-nucleotide ribosomal RNA is filed under the name uncultured bacterium. RNAcentral describes it as "bacterial SSU rRNA". It matches the Rfam family "Bacterial small subunit ribosomal RNA", at positions 28 to 573 of the family's 1533-position model. The record is from RNAcentral.